Molecule: non-coding RNA, 590 nt
Organism: Gavialis gangeticus (Gharial)
Lineage: Eukaryota; Metazoa; Chordata; Crocodylia; Gavialidae
Source: the annotation of a RefSeq genome assembly
CACAGAGCAGGUUAUUUCGACCUCAUGCAAACGGGUCACCCUGGGUCAGGAAGCCAGAGAUGGAGAUCUGUGGAGUCUGGUGUGUGGCCAUGUUCCUCUUAGGAGCAGGACAAACAUAUGCUGAGAUAACUCAAACACCCAGUGUGGUGCUGGAGGGAAAGCGCACAGCUUACCUGAGGUGCAAGCAGAACAAUGGCCAUGAAAACAUGUUCUGGUACCGGCAGAAUCCACGGCAGGGGCAAGGCCUGCAAUUCCUCUUUUUCUUCCAGUACCAACAAGAGACAGAGAGAGCUGCUAAUUUUAGCCGCUUCAAGGCUAACAGAGCACAAGAUGAUGUCCUGUACUUGAACAUCUCCUCUGUAGAGCCAGAGGACUCGGCUGUGUAUUUCUGUGCCACCAGUCGCUACACAGCACUUCAGAGUCACUUUCUCUCUCUACAAAAACCACUUCUGUUGCUUGUUUUUUUUGCAGCCUGGUAGAGAAAGCUAGCAGCUGACUGCCAGCACAUGGAGUGUAUCAAUUGCCUUCUCCUGUGAGCAGUGGAGAGAGAAGCCAGAACAAAAGAAGGGAGGUCAGAUCAGCACCUUUGA